Molecule: non-coding RNA, 72 nt
Organism: Phrynosoma platyrhinos (Desert horned lizard)
Lineage: Eukaryota; Metazoa; Chordata; Lepidosauria; Squamata; Phrynosomatidae
Source: the annotation of a GenBank genome assembly
GCCAGCGUGGAGUAAUGGUUUGACUGCUGGACUACAGCUCUGGAGACCAGGGUUCAAAUCCUCGCUCAGCCA